UUGGCGCUCGUUAAUGAGGUCGAGAUCAUCACGGCUAGUGAUCUUCCGCCGGAAUGGUUGCCGCAGGAGCCGGAAUGUAUUUCCUUCAUUACUUUCCUCGCCUUUUCUCCUUCCAGGCACGUCAGGAGUGGUCCGGAGAAUCUCCAUUUGUAGAUUUCCCCGUCCACUGUUACGUAGCGUGCAGCCUGUGUUCGAACCUUGCGAGCUGCCCUUUUUUCGGCGGGCUGUUGCCCGUUGACAAUGUAGUCUCGAAUCGUCUGAAGCCAUGGGGUAUCACAGCCGUAAUCAGAUUGCUCU
Molecule: long non-coding RNA, 297 nt
Filed under: Brassica rapa (field mustard)
Lineage: Eukaryota; Viridiplantae; Streptophyta; Magnoliopsida; Brassicales; Brassicaceae
Description: long non-coding RNA (BRAP_LNC008780)
Source: RNAcentral